RNAcentral lists this long non-coding RNA (1280 nucleotides) under Homo sapiens (human). RNAcentral describes it as "HSALNT0408602". Lineage: Eukaryota; Metazoa; Chordata; Mammalia; Primates; Hominidae. The record is from RNAcentral.
GCAGAUCGCAGCCCAGAGUCUGCGGAGGCGCACCGUUUCAUCAACAGCAGGGACUGAAACUUCAGCCCAGGAGAAGCCAAGAUGGCACCGUUAUCGCACCCUGGGAAUCGAGGACCGGGAAGAACUUAAUGAUGCGAUUCCUCCCGUGAUCUCAGUGAUUGUAUCAGGCGAAAACGAGGAGGGCAAAAUACCGUCCAGAUGUAAACUAGGAGCAGCCGCACCAGCAGCACCAGCAGAAUGCCGUGGUAGUGCGGCAGGCCCUGGCCCCAUGGACAAAGAGAAACUCGUCAGUGGCAGUGGCCACGAACUCAGAAAGCCUGAGGACAGUCAGCAGCUCCUCUGGCUCUUCACUUUCACACUGGUGCAACUACAGGAGCUGAAGAACAUUUUUCAACUCGUUCCAUACCCGGACGUGUUAGGAUCAGAUUCAUCAUUGGACUCCUGGACCUAUCACUGCGGACCUCAAAUGUGCACCUUUUAAGCCCUUUCCUUCACUCCUGACUGAUUGAUUUGGGAUCCACUGCUAAGUCAGACUUUUGAACCAUUGUUCCAGGCAAACUUCUGUUAAAGCUGUUUCAGAUGAGUUUCCAAUGUUUAUAUUCUAGUUGGACCACAAAUAACGAGUCUCAUCUCAGCACCCGAAGGUUAGUAAUAGAUUUCAAGCAGGCAGAAUAGAAAUUAGAGGAAGAUGGAGAGCUUUAAAACACUCUGCUUAACUUUCUAGUUGCAGGUUACCACUCGAGCUCUGAAUUUUUCUUGCUGUAAUUUUCUCAUCAUUUAAAAAUGUGCACAAAAAUACGUCAUAAUAUGUAACCAGCUGUAAUUCCAAAGAGAAUUAAAAUAUGAAGUUCCUGGCAGGCUUCUGUGAAGGAGCUGGGUUUUAAAGGAGAGAAAGAGAAAGAGAAGGAAAGAGAAGGAGGUUUGUGACCCUUCCAGCCCCUGCAUGGUGUGGGUUUGGUACCCCCACCACUCUCAUUUACCUCCUGUCAGGGAGAGCCCAAGUACCCUAGACCUGCACAAUGUAGGAUGAAUCCCUCCCCACUCCGCAAGUCACUGGUUGAAGUGAACUGUUUCCAGCUGGAGGGAGCUAAAGAUACAUUUGCCUGAGAGAAGUAACGAUGUAGGUGGCUUUGCAAGAUAAAUCAGGAAGAUGAAGUCGUAAGUGAAAAGGAAAGGAUGAAAUCAGGAUCCACACACAAAGGUCAAACACUCACACUUACAAACAAAUGGUGCACUUCUGAACAAAACCCUGGUUAAGGGGCUAGGUAAAAUCCUGAAUG